This is a small nucleolar RNA of Apodemus sylvaticus (European woodmouse), 103 nucleotides long. RefSeq annotates it as small nucleolar RNA U13. The transcript has a single exon. NCBI's taxonomy places the organism in Eukaryota, Metazoa, Chordata, Mammalia, Rodentia, Muridae. The record is from RefSeq and is a predicted model, not a curated record.
AUUUUUUUUUUGGUUCAUAAGUGUGAUGAUCAGGUAUUCACACAUUGCGAUACAUGUUCCUCCCACAGACCUUGUUACAAUAUUAGCAAUUAUGUGUGAGAAA